ACGGGUGAGUAACGCGUGGUCAACCUACCGUUGAGUGGGGGAUAACUAGCCGAAAGGUUAGCUAAUACCGCAUACGUCUCCGAGUGGCAUCACUUGGUGAUAAAAGGAGCAAUCCGCUCGAUGACGGGACCGCGUCCCAUUAGCUAGUUGGUGGGGUAACGGCCUACCAAGGCACCGAUGGGUAGCUGGUUUGAGAGAGCGACCAGCCACACUGGGACUGAGAAACGGCCCAG
This 233-nucleotide ribosomal RNA is filed under the name uncultured bacterium. Its description in RNAcentral is "partial 16S ribosomal RNA". It matches the Rfam family "Bacterial small subunit ribosomal RNA", at positions 102 to 334 of the family's 1533-position model. The record is from RNAcentral.